Molecule: non-coding RNA, 48 nt
Filed under: Trichobilharzia regenti
Lineage: Eukaryota; Metazoa; Platyhelminthes; Trematoda; Strigeidida; Schistosomatidae
Source: RNAcentral
AUCCAAUGGCUGACGAGUCCCAAAAAGGACGAAAUACGCAUCCUGGAU